GAUGAACGCUGGCGGCGUGCCUAACACAUGCAAGUCGAGCGAGAAUUUCCUGAAUGAAACUUCGGUCGAAUGAGGGGAAGGAAAGCGGCGGACGGGUGAGUAACGCGUAGGCAACCUGCCCUUUGCAGAGGGAUAGCCACUGGAAACGGUGAUUAAAACCUCAUAACACGGGACUGAGACAUCUCAGACCCGCCAAAGAUUUAUCGGCAAAGGAUGGGCCUGCGUCUGAUUAGCUAGUUGGUGAGGUAAGGGCUCACCAAGGCAAUGAUCAGUAGCCGUACUGAGAGGUAGAACGGCCACAUUGGGACUGAGACACGGCCCAAACUCC
RNAcentral lists this ribosomal RNA (328 nucleotides) under uncultured Lachnospiraceae bacterium. RNAcentral describes it as "bacterial SSU rRNA". It matches the Rfam family "Bacterial small subunit ribosomal RNA", at positions 28 to 339 of the family's 1533-position model. Lineage: Bacteria; Bacillati; Bacillota; Clostridia; Lachnospirales; Lachnospiraceae. The record is from RNAcentral.